This 1668-nucleotide long non-coding RNA is filed under the name Daphnia pulex (common water flea). RNAcentral's name for it is "uncharacterized LOC124209937, transcript variant X5". Lineage: Eukaryota; Metazoa; Arthropoda; Branchiopoda; Diplostraca; Daphniidae. The record is from RNAcentral.
CUAAAUUGCGUUUCGGACUUAGAUUGUCAAAGGUGUCCAAUAGAUGACGUACGUGUCGUCGUUUGUUUUCCUAUUUUCCCAUGAAAAUUAACGAUGAAUUCAAAGAAGGAACGCCAAAGGCAACUAGCCUAGACAAGUAGCCUACCAUCAAUUUUUUCAUAAAAUUAUCGUUCAGCUGAAUGCUUCAUGCUGUUAAAACAGUUAAUAUUCAUCAUACUUAUCUGGAGUUUCUGUUGAUGUUAUUGGUAAGUCACUAACCCCAGUGUGGACACUUGUUGUUUUUUUCUGAACAUGUUUUCUACAAAUAAUGAAUUGACAAACAAGUAUUGUUCUUCCUUUAAAAAUUUUUAACUUUUAUUUGAUGCCGUAAACUUUAUUUUCAGUCAUAGAGAAAGCUAUGGAAACAUAAUCAAGGCCAUGGGCAAUCUUCAGUUUUAUUGCAGCAACUUUGGGGAAGUCGCAUGAAAAGUUGCAGGGCACAUACCAACAUGUGUGGAGUGUGGUAUUUAUCUGAAUUUUUUACUCAAGCAAUUCAACUUGACUGUUUGAUGCCAAAGUUAGUUGGAACUCUAACUCAAACACAGAUAACCGUUGCUGCUGUUGCCUUACAGGUUACAGCAACAGGCAGGAAAAUUAUUCUUUUCUUCAGAAAAUACUUCGGAAACAGAGUUCGGAAAGGGAAAGCAAUCCAUCCGUUCCGUACAGCAAACGUGGUAAUCGUGAGGGAAUCUUUUGGUAGGACGGUAGGUGGCUAAAAUGGUUUGUCCCCCAGCCACCAGGUGACGCGAGUGUUUUCGUGAGGAGGACGAAAUAAAUAUUUGUUUGUUUCCGAAACGCUGAAUGAAAGUUGUGAACGCUGAGUGAAAAUCCAUUACGGAAUUGCGGUGUCGAUCUACAUUUUCAGCCAUGAAAUGGCAAUCUGGCAUAUAAUUUCACUUGGCCAAAUAAUGUGACGACGUGGGUCGAAUCCAUUUUGCCGAAAUGUCGGCCAUUGUUACUGUACCUAUACGUCUCAUCUCGUGCUGAAACACUUCAGAGCUAGUAAAGUCAAAGACGGAGAUCCCUUUGCUCAACUGUUGCAGAAAUCGAGAACACACCAAAGUCUGUGCUUCAUGGCUGUUGUAUCAUUAAUGUGGUUUUGUUGCAGCCAGCUGGUGAAAGAUGUGAUCGAGUUAAGUUAAGAUGCAGCUGCUGCAUGCAGUUUAUCAAACUGUUGUUAUCCCUAUUGUCACAACAGGAAGACUUCUUGAAUUGGAGUUCAUGGUCAGUUUCAUGUUUGAGCUGUUUAUGGUGUUGCUGUUUGGUGUACAGUGGUUUUGAAGUCCCUAUCCAGUUGAGAGAUGCUCUGAAGCAGACUUGCAGUUCAACUUCAACAUCACACUUAAAUGUGUCAUUUGCCUAUGUUGGUGUCCAUGCAGUAUAUGCCGUGUUGAAAAGUUGGGUAAAAUAGUCAAUGUUGCCUGAUGGCUGUCGGUCUUGUUUUAUCGACUGCAUUUUUCGAUAUGACGUCUCUUGGUACCGGCGUUGAGUUUCAUCGUUUUCUGCCGUUCCAUAGACUUGAUCCAUUGGUAAAACUGAGGAGAGGUUGCUGAAAUUCAAGACGCGUCAAUAUAAAUUAUGUAGAUGUAGAAAAAAUUACAAGUGCAUAUCUGGGCUCCCUUCUUCAGU